GACGAACGCUGGCGGCGUGCUUAACACAUGCAAGUCGAACGGAAAGGCCCUGCUUUUGUGGGGUGCUCGAGUGGCGAACGGGUGAGUAACACGUGAGUAACCUGCCCUUGACUUUGGGAUAACUUCAGGAAACUGGGGCUAAUACCGGAUAGGAGCUCCUGCUGCAUGGUGGGGGUUGGAAAGUUUCGGCGGUUGGGGAUGGACUCGCGGCUUAUCGGCUUGUUGGUGGGGUAGUGGCUUACCGAGGCUUUGACGGGUAGCCGGCCUGAGAGGGUGACCGGCCACAUUGGGACUGAGAUACGGCCCAGACUCCUACGGGAGGCAGCAGUGGGGAAUAUUGCACAAUGGGCGGAAGCCUGAUGCAGCAACGCCGCGUGCGGGAUGACGGCCUUCGGGUUGUAAACCGCUUUCGCCUGUGACGAAGCGUGAGUGACGGUAAUGGGUAAAGAAGCACCGGCUAACUACGUG
This 468-nucleotide ribosomal RNA is filed under the name uncultured bacterium. RNAcentral describes it as "partial 16S ribosomal RNA". It matches the Rfam family "Bacterial small subunit ribosomal RNA", at positions 28 to 507 of the family's 1533-position model. The record is from RNAcentral.